UUCACAAACAACCGCACGUCUGCCGCGUUCUGCCGUGCGUAGGAUCAAUGCUACGUGUAUGUAUUAACAUAUGUUUAGACGCUGAGAAUUCUGCGAGAAGUACUCCUUUAUUGUCAACAGCAGUAAGGGUUAUUUUCGUCGACUCGUUUAUUAUGGAUGAAAUGCCUAGUAACAAAACUUCUGCAAUCUUUUUAAAUUUAUUGAUUAGAGUUAAUUAGAUGUAUAAAAUAAUGUAUAAAAACUGUUCAGCCCAUGUUAUUACAUACGUUUUCAGACAUUAUUUGUGCAAAAUCAGGUGUUCCUACCCAUGAUUCAGUGCAUAAAAGCUCUUGGCCAAGUCGUCUAUUGAUUAAGGGGGCUGCUCGCAAAAUAAUUUUUCUGUUUUUCUUUGUAACAUUUAUUCAUCCUGCGAAGAGCAUCGAUUGUACCAAAUUUGAUAUUAUUUAGGCAAAUAGAUUUUAAAUAAAUCGCUAUCAAAGUUUGGUUUUUUUCAAUUUUGCAUUAUACAAAUCUUGAAAACGGGGUAAGAUAUGUCAAUGAAAUUUGGUAUAACUGAAGUAUGUUAAGUAAUCUAUUGAAGAGAUUAAAUGAAAUUGCUCAUAAAUUGUUACGAAAAAAGUGUGCAGGCAUGUAAUUAAGUAAUUUUUCAUAAGACUAUAUAAACGUCAUGGUAAUACUUAUAAGAAAAUGAGAACAUGCACGAAAUGCGUUUGGAUUUCAUUUUAUUAUUCAUGUUUCACAAUGCUGGAUUGUAAUAAAAUUUCAGCAGAUUUGUAGGAUGCAAGCAGUGCAUGUAUUUUUUGCCCCUGGCAUUCUGAGAAUAUAUCGAAUGCAGCCCGCAGCACUGGAGGCGCCGCGGUGUCUGGUGUUAUCGCGUCUGGAGCCAGCGCAGCUGGCCUCGUGGCGCGCGCUGUUGCCGCUGCCAGCAGGGCAGCAGCCCGUAGCUCCACUCGUGCGGCUUGUAUCGCUCAGUGUGCAACACAAACUAGUGGUUUUUUUCCGCGUUUGAGUAGAUUUUAUUUUAUUUUGUUUCCAAAUGGCCCCACAAAAAUUUGUCAAUGGGCGGCCUUAUAAGAAAACAAAAAAAAAAAACAAGAAAGCUAGGAUUAAAAAGAAAUUUCACGCAGAGUGAAAAUUAAAAAAUUAUAUUUCACAACAAUGUGACGGUUCGGAUUCAAAAUUGUGCGCACCUACCGCAUCUACUUCCGAAUGCGUGAAAUUUACUGUUUCUACAGCAUCUACUUCCGGUGAAUGUGAAAUGUACCAAGAAUCUGCAGAUAAGCGUGCUGACAUCAUUCUCCAAGACCUGCCUUCAUCGCCUACGAAUUCUAUUAAUAGUAGUGGCGUUGAUUAUAAUCCAGCCUUAGAUUGGGUUGGCGUGGAAAUAGACGACGAUGAGUUUCCGCCACUAAUUGUUGAAAAUGAUACCACAAAAAGAAGUUUAGACUCUGUUAUUCAGGGACGUCGGAUUGUCAAUCCAAGUUUUCUUCUUCCUCAACUUGAAGCAGUGGGAAAACAUUCCCUUUCAUGCACAACUGGGUGUCUCCGGUUGCGAAAUGAAUCGAGGAGAGGCCUUCACUGUGUGUGGGAAUAUUACUGCGAAGUAUGUGGGAAAAUCCAAUACGUCACGACAGAUGAAAACACAGUACAGAACAAACCUGAAAUAAAUACGCUCUUGGUUUGGGGAACGUUAUCAUCUGGUUUUGGAUUUACUCAAAUUCAAGAGGUUAUGGGUGUGUUAGACGUGCCAGUUAUGUAUUCCUCUUGUUUUAGGCAAAAUGAAAAAGAAAUUGGAAAGGUGUGGGAGGAGCACUUGGCACUAAAAAUGAAAAUGGCUGGAGAGGAAGAAAGAAAAAUAGCUAUACAAAAAGGUCAUAUUGUAGAUGGUGUACCAUACAUAACAGUUAUUGGAGAUGGCGGUUGGGCAAAGAGGAGCUAUGGCCAUGGCUACAAUUCUGCUUCUGGUGUGGUGAGUUCGAUAAUUGAGAUAUCUUUUACGUUAUCGUAUACUCGUGGUCGAGUGGGCAGUACAAUAUUUUAAGUUAUAUCAGGCGUUAGACCUAGUAUUAGUAAAAACAUGCAAAAUAUAGUAUCAGAAAUGAUACCACUAUAAUUUAAAUAUAUGUACUCAACGGUAUAUGCAGAUUUAUUAUACUUUAAAUUACUCUUAAUGUUUUAUA
This is a long non-coding RNA of Bacillus rossius redtenbacheri, 2180 nucleotides long. RefSeq lists it as uncharacterized. The transcript is spliced from 3 exons. The record is from RefSeq and is a predicted model, not a curated record. Lineage: Eukaryota; Metazoa; Arthropoda; Insecta; Phasmatodea; Bacillidae.